CGGUUGAUCCUGCCGGAGGCCAUUGCUAUUGGGAUUCGAUUUAGCCAUGCUAGUCGCACGAGCUCAGACUCGUGGCGAAUAGCUCAGUAACACGUGGCCAAACUACCCUUCGGAGCACAAUACCCUCGGGAAACUGAGGCUAAUAGUGCAUACCACAAUCCACCUGGAAUGAGGAUUGUGUCAAAUGCUCCGGCGCCGAAGGAUGUGGCUGCGGCCGAUUAGGUAGACGGUGGGGUAACGGCCCACCGUGCCAAUAAUCGGUACGGGUCAUGAGAGUGAGAACCCGGAGACGGAAUCUGAGACAAGAUUCCGGGCCCUACGGGGCGCAGCAGGCGCGAAACCUUUACACUGCACGCCAGUGCGAUAAGGGAAUCCCAAGUGCGUAGGCAUAGAGCCUACGCUUUUGUACACCGUAGGGAGGUGUACGAAUAAGGGCUGGGCAAGACCGGUGCCAGCCGCCGCGGUAAUACCGGCAGCCCGAGUGAUGGCCGAUCUUAUUGGGCCUAAAGCGUCCGUAGCUGGCCGCGCAAGUCUAUCGGAAAAUCCACCCGCUCAACGGGUGGGCGUCCGGUAGAAACUGCGUGGCUUGGGACCGGAAGGCGCGACGGGUACGUCCGGGGUAGGAGUGAAAUCCUGUAAUCCUGGACGGACCGCCGAUGGCGAAAGCACGUCGCGAGGACGGAUCCGACAGUGAGGGACGAAAGCCAGGGUCUCGAACCGGAUUAGAUACCCGGGUAGUCCUGGCCGUAAACAAUGUCUGUUAGGUGUGGCUCCCACUACGAGUGGGUGCUGUGCCGUAGGGAAGCCGCUAAACAGACCGCCUGGGAAGUACGUCCGCAAGGAUGAAACUUAAAGGAAUUGGCGGGGGAGCACUACAACCGGAGGAGCCUGCGGUUUAAUUGGACUCAACGCCGGACAUCUCACCAGCGUCGACUGUAAUAAUGACGAUCAGGUUG
This 956-nucleotide ribosomal RNA is filed under the name uncultured Halorubrum sp. Its description in RNAcentral is "bacterial SSU rRNA". It matches the Rfam family "Archaeal small subunit ribosomal RNA", at positions 5 to 961 of the family's 1478-position model. The record is from RNAcentral. Lineage: Archaea; Methanobacteriati; Methanobacteriota; Halobacteria; Halobacteriales; Haloferacaceae.